GAAGGGGCAAGUCGCCGCACGGGGUGGAGCGGAGGGAAGGACGGGAUCCAAUCAGAGCUCCAGGCUGCCGCUUUAUUUGCAUAAAGAGAACUUCUCGUCGGCCAGUGGGGAGAAGGCGGAAGGAAGGCUGGAGCACCUGGAGGCUGCCAUCUGACAGCAGCGUUCCAUUGUGCUAAACACAGAGUGAAAUCCUGGCCCUACUGAAGUCACUGGAAGCUUUUCCAUUCAAUGGAGUCAGCUUUUCACCCAUAAUCAGACAGUCGCUGCCUUAAAGAAUGUACAGUCCAAACAGAGAAGAAAGACAAAGGCUGGGUCUCAAGGAUCUUUAACAUGAGUAAAUCUAUGUCAAGUCAAUGGAACAGCUGAGGAUCUGGCUCAGGGCUCCAAAGCAAGACAAAAGUUCUCCAAAAAGGGCUGGCCUAUGGCUCCAUUUCCUCUGCUGUUUUUCUUCACAGUAAUGUCAUUCCACUGUCUUCAAUGGAGUUUCUCCUGAUUUACGUGGCUAUAAGUAAGAGGAGGAUCAAGCCAUCCUGGGAAGCCCCUACAGCAACGUGACCGACCAACUCCCUCACAUCAAGAGUUGUUUGCAUCAAGAGUGGCUUCAGCUACUGGCACAAGUGGGAGGUAUGAGAAAACGAUGUGGCUGCGCAAGGGAGAACGCUGGUCUUGUAGAUGUAAUGAAAUAUGGGAUUCUCCCCAUUUGAAAAAAGAGAGAAGAAUGAUGAUCAUUAUUAAUUAGGCUCUAUGUGAUGAAUUAUUGUACACAUUUGUAUUUGUCAUCCAGUUUUUUGCAUCUGCUGGAUUUAUAAUUGAACAUUGAACUCGUAUUUAAUCUGCACUUUCUCUGACAUAUCCUAAACCCACUAGUGGUUGCACUAAGUGACUAAGUACCCUGGUCACUGGGUCCAGCUGAACUGUACUUGAUGCAGGACCUAAGAAGUUGGAGAGAAGUGUCUUUAUACUUUACCUUUACAUUCCUCUGCUCUUGGGGACAGCUCAGUGGCACCAAUUCUAACACCCUAGUAGCUCUCAUUCACUGGAACUUCCAGGGAAUGUCCUGAGCAAGGAGAUAACAGAGCAAGUGCCUCCAUGCAGAUUCAGAUCCCAGUGGAUUCAUGUGGUUUGGAGGCAGAUCUGUAACCUGUUCAGAGAGGGAGGGACCAACCCUGCACAAUGAUCAGAGAGAAACUUUACAAGGGGGAGCCUCAGAGCGUUCUUCCGAUUAGCCCCUGCUUGUAGGGACAGAUCUAACCCUAAAGAAGAGCUUCAUGGAUCAGUGAAAACAGGAAUGGUUUGUAGCAGCAAGUUCAACUCCUGUCUAAUCUACUGUUGGAAUAGUUUGCAUUCUCUUAACUAUAAGACUUGCAUGUGUUAUGUAGGAGGUCAAACAAGAUGCUCACAGUAGUCCCUUCUAGCCUUCUAAUCGAUGAAUGAAAAACUUCUGGACUUGGCCCAAAGGGUGGACUUUCGGCAAGUCUGUGCCACACUUUCCCCAGCUGUAAAGCAGAUGAUAAUACUUACCUGUGUCUGAGGGUGUAAGACUUAAAUAAUUAAUGGUUGGCAAGAGCUUGGAGACCUUUGGAUGAAAAGUGUUAUUAACCACACAUUAAAAACAUCUUUUCUUAAGCAACUUGCAUCUGAGCCCUUUCCCUCGGUUCAGUAAUGUAGGAGAUAGACACCCAUCUCUUCACAGAAGGAACUCUUUGCAACCCUGCACAGCUCCAAACCAAGAAGAGACCAUUUUCCAGAGGAUACAAGUUUUCAGUUAUUCCACUGAACAACACCCCUCAAAAUGCAGAGACAAUUACCAGACCUCCCCCACUCUGUCCCCAGGAGUGAGUCUCUUCACAGGCUGUGAAACCCUGUCACUCAAUAUCUCCCUCAUCUGUCACUGUGACACUGCCCUGGGCUGCACUGGGAUUACAGAGCAAUGAAAAGCUCUGUUUGAAAAUGCAUUCCUGAAACCCCCAAGGAACAUGGUUUAAGCUCAGCUCUUAUCACAUGUGGAGGGAAAUACGGGCCUGCAGGGAAUGGUUGAAAGUCUCCUGCUAGGGUUUGACCUGGAGGGUAAUUUAACACAAGGGCUAUGUGUUCUGGCCCCAGGUGUCCAAGUGGCUUUCAUGUGCAGGAAAACUCCAGGGCCUCAGUAUUUGUCUAUUUCUUGGCGUGGUUUUGCUUCAAGGAACCACGGCUCAGAGGGGAGUUAUUCUGGGCCAAGUUCACGUUCACAUCUCCCUGCAAGAUGCCAAGCACAAAGGAACUGAAAUACCAUGAUUAGAGCAAGGGGCAGAUUCUGUGCUGCACCCUCUCAGAGACACAGCACAGGAGGUGUGACUCAACAGGAGGUGAGGCAGGGGGGCAAAGGUGGCUUUCCAUCAUCUUUCCAUCAUCCAGAUUCUGGGCUGCUGUGGAGGUCAAAACAGGCUCUUGCAUAAGUUACUGUAGCCACUGGGGACUGCUCUCACUUACAGCAGGCUCCCCAGGCUGUGCUACAGCCCAGAAUACCAGCAGCACUCAGCAGUACAAGCAUGCUGUCUCCGAUCUAUGAUUUGUUCCCUACCUGGGCAUGCCCCCUACUCUGGGACUGCUUACAUUGACCCUAUGCUGCUUCUGAAUUAAGAGAAUUCUCCUCCAACCCACUGUGGCUCCUUGCCAACCCCAACAAAGCAGCAUAUAAGUGAUGAGGUCCAGAACUGGUCCCGUAGUGUUAUUUUGCCUCCAUCAAUGGCCCUUUCUCAUUGCAAAACAAUGCCUUGUGGUAGGUCAUACAGUGAGUCAGGGACAGAGCUGAGAUUAGAACGCCAACCUCUUGAUUUCCGCUCCCUUUAACCCCCCAGCACGUCUCUCAUCUUUCUUCACGGCAGUAACAUCUGGCAAGAGGUUCUGAAUCUCUCCUACCACGGAGACGUUUCCUCACCUGGUACAGUUACUUUCCUUGAGACAACCAGGGUCCCACAGCUUGAUUCUCGAGGCUCAGCUGCAGUGACAUGAAAAAUGCACACACAGCUUCUACACAGGGAGACUUUUAAGUGAUUGGGUCCAUUGUAAUGUCUGGCAGCCAUCUGUCAGACACUAAAGUAAACCCCAGCUAACCCAGCAUGUGUGGUCUAAUGUAGAGCUGAGCAAAUAAUUUAUCUGAUGAAUUUAACCUCUUUUGCUGCUGACUGAAUAUCUGUGAGCAGGUCACCGUUUCCUCCAAUUCAUUCAUUAUUCUAGUAUUGACUAAACAGCUUUUUGAAUUUUUUACUCUGUGUCAUUAAGACAAAUCCAAAAAAAGAGCUUAGUUUUGAUUGGUCAGAUGAAUCAUCUGGUGUUGUUUCCUGAUUGGAUAAGCUAGCAAGCAAAUGUGCAUGUGAAUUUAAAAUUAAUUUCCCACCCUUAUUCACAUAGGUGACAUUGAAAUUCACUUUCAAGGUGCCAGAAAAAAACCUCAGUGUCUGGAAUGUUCAUAGGAAGUGAUGCAAACAGGGCAGUAGCCCGCUCACAGAAAAUUUCAUUUAAAAUAAAACAAAUAUUUGCAGAACAUUUUUGUCUUAUUCAACAUCUCUCUAGGAAGAUGGAGCAUGGGUUUAGGCUUUGGAACUCUUUGGUUCGAUUUUUUGCUCUGCCACAUACACUAUGUGAUGUUGGCAGUCUUUUAGGCCCAUAUAUUUAGAGAAGUAGCAACUAGAGUUGGUCAAUUUUUUUUUAAAACAAAAACAAAGACAUUUUUCAUUAUUGUUGAAAUUUUCAGUGGAAAAUGACGACUUCCUAUGGAAACCCAAAAAUGUUUUGGUCCAAAGUUGCCAAAACCUAAAACAUUUUUGG
Long non-coding RNA from Chelonia mydas (Green sea turtle), 3807 nucleotides. RefSeq lists it as uncharacterized. The record is from RefSeq and is a predicted model, not a curated record. NCBI's taxonomy places the organism in Eukaryota, Metazoa, Chordata, Testudines, Cheloniidae. The transcript has 5 exons.